UACAGAGGGGGCAAGCGUUGUUCGGAAUUACUGGGCGUAAAGGGCGCGUAGGCGGCCUGUUAAGUCGAACGUGAAAUCCCCGGGCUCAACCCGGGAACUGCGUCCGAUACUGGCAGGCUUGAAUCCGGGAGAGGGAUGUGGAAUUCCAGGUGUAGCGGUGAAAUGCGUAGAUAUCGGGAGGAACACCAGUGGCGAAGGCGGCUUCCUGGCCUGUUCUUGACGCUGAGGCGCGAAAGCUAGGGGAGCAAACGGG
This 253-nucleotide ribosomal RNA is filed under the name uncultured bacterium. RNAcentral describes it as "partial 16S ribosomal RNA". It matches the Rfam family "Bacterial small subunit ribosomal RNA", at positions 524 to 776 of the family's 1533-position model. The record is from RNAcentral.